AUACGUAGAUGGCAAGCGUUGUCCGGAUUUAUUGGGCGUAAAGCGAGCGCAGGCGGUUCUUUAAGUCUGAUGUGAAAGCCCACGGCUCAACCGUGGAAGGUCAUUGGAAACUGGUCGACUUGAGUGCAGAAGAGGGAAGUGGAAUUCCAUGUGUAGCGGUGAAAUGCGUAGAGAUAUGGAGGAACACCAGUGGCGAAGGCGGCUUGCUGGACGACAACUGACGCUGAGGCGCGAAAGCGUGGGGAGC
This 247-nucleotide ribosomal RNA is filed under the name uncultured bacterium. RNAcentral describes it as "partial 16S ribosomal RNA". It matches the Rfam family "Bacterial small subunit ribosomal RNA", at positions 523 to 769 of the family's 1533-position model. The record is from RNAcentral.